AGCGAACCGGGAAGAGCUCAAAUUUGUAAUCUGGCGCCCCUCGGGCUCAGAGUUGUAAUCUACAGAGGCGUUUUCCGUGCCGGCCCGUGCCCAACUUUGCUUGGAACAGUGAGAUCAAAGAGGGUGAAAAUCCCGUACUUGACACGACCGCCGGUGCUAUGUGAUACGUCUUCUAAGAGUCGAGUUGUUUGGGAAUGCAGCUCAAAACGGGUGGUAAAUUCCAUCUAAGGCUAAAUAUUGGCGAGAGACCGAUAGCGAACAAGUACCGUGAGGGAAAGAUGAAAAGCACUUUGGAAAGAGAGUUAAACAGCACGUGAAAUUGUUGAAAGGGAAACGAUUGAAGUCAGUCGUGUCCGAGGGGUUCAGCCGGUCCUGCCGGUGCAUUCCUAUCGGACGGGUCAACAUCGGUUUUGUCCGGCGGACAAGGGCAUGGGGAAAGUGGCACCUUCGGGUGUGUUAUAGCCCCGUGUCGCAUACGUCGGACGAGACCGAGGAACGCAGCUCGCCUCACGGCCGGGGUUCGCCCACGUACGAGCUAGG
RNAcentral lists this ribosomal RNA (540 nucleotides) under Tremella flava. RNAcentral's name for it is "LSU rRNA". It matches the Rfam family "Eukaryotic large subunit ribosomal RNA", at positions 92 to 611 of the family's 3401-position model. Lineage: Eukaryota; Fungi; Basidiomycota; Tremellomycetes; Tremellales; Tremellaceae. The record is from RNAcentral.